CAGUCGCCGCGGUAAAACGUAGGGUGCAAGCGUUAAUCGGAAUUACUAGGCGUAAAGCGUGCGCAGGCGGUUAUUCAAGACAGAUGUGAAAUCCCCGGGCUCAACCUGGGAACUGCAUUUGUGACUGGAUGACUAGAGUACGGCAGAGGGGGAUGGAAUUCCGCGUGUAGCAGUGAAAUGCGUAGAUAUGCGGAGGAACACCGAUGGCGAAGGCAAUCCCCUGGGCCUGUACUGACGCUCAUGCACGAAAGCGUGGGGAGCAAACAGGAUUAGAGACCCCCGUAGUCCCUGUCUCUUAUAC
RNAcentral lists this ribosomal RNA (301 nucleotides) under uncultured bacterium. RNAcentral's name for it is "partial 16S ribosomal RNA". It matches the Rfam family "Bacterial small subunit ribosomal RNA", at positions 509 to 807 of the family's 1533-position model. The record is from RNAcentral.